CGGGAGCCCCCAUCCUCGUGCAUGCAGGUUUCUGGGGAGUGAAAAAAGCCCCAUGAAACCGGCGCACGGGUGCGUAACGCGUUUGCAACCUACCUUCACCUGGGGGAUAGCCCGGAGAAAUCCGGAUUAAUACCGCAUAAAAUCACAGUACCGCAUGGUACAAUGAUCAAACAUUCAUGGGGAGAAGAUGGGCAUGCGUGCCAUUAGUUAGUUGGCGGGGUAACGGCCCACCAAGACUUCGAUGGCUAGGGGAUCUGAGAGGAUGGCCCCCCACACUGGUACUGAGACACGGACCAGACUCCUACGGGAGGCAGCAGUAAGGAAUAUUGGUCAAUGGGCGCAAGCCUGAACCAGCCAUGCCGCGUGCAGGAAGACGGCCCUCUGGGUUGUAAACUGCUUUUAUUCGGGAAUAAACCUGCUUACGUGUAAGUAGCUGAAUGUACCGAAGGAAUAAGGAUCGGCUAACUCCGUGCCAGCAGCCGCGGUAAUACGGAGGAUCCAAGCGUUACCCGGAUUUAUUGGGUUUAAAGGGUGCGUAGGCGGCCUGUUAAGUCAGGGGUGAAAGACGGUAGCUCAACUAUCGCAGUGCCCUUGAUACUGACGGGCUUGAAUUGACUAGAGGUAGGCGGAAUGUGACAAGUAGCGGUGAAAUGCAUAGAUAUGUCACAGAACACCGAUUGCGAAGGCAGCUUACUAUGGUCUUAUUGACGCUGAGGCACGAAAGCGUGGGGAUCAAACAGGAUUAGAUACCCUGGUAGUCCACGCCCUAAACGAUGAAUACUCGCUGUUGGCGAUACACAGUCAGCGGCUAAGCGAAAGCGUUAAGUAUUCCACCUGGGGAGUACGCCC
Molecule: ribosomal RNA, 849 nt
Filed under: uncultured bacterium
Lineage: Bacteria
Description: bacterial SSU rRNA
Rfam family: Bacterial small subunit ribosomal RNA
Source: RNAcentral